AUGCCUUACACAUGCAAGUCGAACGGUAACAGGUCUUCGGAUGCUGACGAGUGGCGAACGGGUGAGUAAUACAUCGGAACGUGCCCGAGAGUGGGGGAUAACGAAGCGAAAGCUUUGCUAAUACCGCAUACGAUCUCAGGAUGAAAGCAGGGGACCGCAAGGCCUUGCGCUCACGGAGCGGCCGAUGGCAGAUUAGGUAGUUGGUGGGAUAAAAGCUUACCAAGCCGACGAUCUGUAGCUGGUCUGAGAGGACGACCAGCCACACUGGGACUGAGACACGGCCCAGACUCCUACGGGAGGCAGCAGUGGGGAAUUUUGGACAAUGGGCGCAAGCCUGAUCCAGCCAUGCCGCGUGCAGGAUGAAGGCCUUCGGGUUGUAAACUGCUUUUGUACGGAACGAAAAGACUCUGGUUAAUACCUGGGGUCCAUGACGGUACCGUAAGAAUAAGCACCGGCUAACUACGUGCCAGCAGCCGCGGUAAUACGUAGGGUGCGAGCGUUAAUCGGAAUUACUGGGCGUAAAGCGUGCGCAGGCGGUUAUGUAAGACAGAUGUGAAAUCCCCGGGGCUCAACCUGGGAACUGCAUUUGUGACUGCAUAGCUAGAGUACGGCAGAGGGGGAUGGAAUUCCGCGUGUAGCAGUGAAAUGCGUCGAUAUGCGGAGGACACCGAUGGCGAAGGCAAUCCCCUGGGCCUGUACUGACGCUCAUGC
RNAcentral lists this ribosomal RNA (711 nucleotides) under uncultured beta proteobacterium. Its description in RNAcentral is "bacterial SSU rRNA". It matches the Rfam family "Bacterial small subunit ribosomal RNA", at positions 44 to 752 of the family's 1533-position model. Lineage: Bacteria; Pseudomonadati; Pseudomonadota; Betaproteobacteria. The record is from RNAcentral.